CAAGUCGAGCGAUUUACUUCGGUAAAGAGCGGCGGACGGGUGAGUAACGCGUGGGUAACCUGCCCUAUACACACGGAUAACGUACCGAAAGGUACGCUAAUACGAGAUAACAUAUUUUUAUCGCAUGGUAAGAAUAUCAAAGCUCCGGCGGUAUAGGAUGGACCCGCGUCUGAUUAGCUAGUUGGUAAGGUAACGGCUUACCAAGGCGACGAUCAGUAGCCGACCUGAGAGGGUGAUCGGCCACAUUGGAACUGAGACACGGUCCAAACUCCUACGGGAGGCAGCAGCGGGGAAUAUUGCACAAUGGGCGAAAGCCUGAUGCAGCAACGCCGCGUGAGCGAUGAAGGCCUUCGGGUCGUAAAGCUCUGUCCUCAAGGAAGAUAAUGACGGUACUUGGGGAGGAAGCCCCGGCUAACUACGUGCCAGCAGCCGCGGUAAUACGUAGGGGGCUAGCGUUAUCCGGAAUUACUGGGCGUAAAGGGUGCGUAGGUGGUUUCUUAAGUCAGAGGCGAAAGGCUACGGCUCAACCGUAGUAAGCCUUUGAAACUGAGAAACUUGAGUGCAGGAGAGGAGAGUAGAAUUCCUAGUGUAGCGGUGAAAUGCGUAGAUAUUAGGAGGAAUACCAGUUGCGAAGGCGGCUCUCUGGACUGUAACUGACACUGAGGCACGAAAGCGUGGGGAGCAAACAGGAUUAGAUACCCUGGUAGUCCACGCCGUAAACGAUGAGUACUAGCUGUCGGAGGUUACCCCCUUCGGUGGCGCAGCUAACGCAUUAAGUACUCCGCCU
This 787-nucleotide ribosomal RNA is filed under the name uncultured bacterium. RNAcentral describes it as "bacterial SSU rRNA". It matches the Rfam family "Bacterial small subunit ribosomal RNA", at positions 58 to 874 of the family's 1533-position model. The record is from RNAcentral.